Molecule: ribosomal RNA, 497 nt
Filed under: uncultured bacterium
Lineage: Bacteria
Description: bacterial SSU rRNA
Rfam family: Bacterial small subunit ribosomal RNA
Source: RNAcentral
AUGAACGCUAGCGGCAGGCUUAAUCAUGCAAGGUUGAGGGGCAGCAUGAUAUACGCGAGUAUAUUGAUGGCGACCGGCGGACGGGUGAGUAAUAGGUAAGGAGACCUACCUCAGUACAGGGGGAUAGCAUAGAGAAAUCUGUGGUAAUACCCCAUGAGGUUAUAUGAAUAGAGGCAUAUAAUCAAAGCAUAAGUGAUUAUGCGGUAUGAGAGGGGCCUACUGACCAUUAGCUAGUUGGUGAGGUAAGGGCUCACCAAGGCGAAGAUGGUUAGGGGUUUUGAGAGAGAGACCCCCCCACAUUGGAACUGAGAGACGGUCCAGACUCCUACGGGAGGCAGCAGUAGGGAAUAUUGGGCAAUGGGCGAAAGCCUGACCCAGCCAUGCCGCGUGAAGGAAGACGGCCUUAUGGGUUGUAAACUUCUUUACUACGCGAAUAGAGGUUAGUACGAGAUACUAAUAGGAAGGUAGUGUAGUAAAAAGCACCGGCUAACUCCGUG